This 253-nucleotide ribosomal RNA is filed under the name uncultured bacterium. RNAcentral's name for it is "partial 16S ribosomal RNA". It matches the Rfam family "Bacterial small subunit ribosomal RNA", at positions 524 to 776 of the family's 1533-position model. The record is from RNAcentral.
UACGAAGGGUGCUAGCGUUGUUCGGAAUUACUGGGCGUAAAGCGCGCGUAGGCGGUUUUUCAAGUCAGGGGUGAAAUCCUGAGGCUCAACCUCAGAAUUGCCUUUGAAACUGUAAAACUUGAGUGUCGGAGGGGAUAGCGGAAUUGCUAAUGUAGAGGUGAAAUUCGUAGAUAUUAGCAGGAACACCGGUGGCGAAGGCGGCUAUCUGGACGACAACUGACGCUGAGGCGCGAAAGCGCGGGGAUCAAACAGG